GGCACCCCCAGCACAGAAGAAGGAGCGCCGUGAGAUGGAGGCUGCGAGGAGAGCCUUGCUUGCUGAUGAGGAGGCGCAUCGGAUCAGAGUUGCAGAGUCGGCUGCUGGGGCAUCUAGCUCCAAAGAUGUGGAGACAGUAGGAGGCACUACUGAUAGUGCUGUUGCUGAUGAGGACACUAUUGAGGGUGUUCAUACUACAUAUGAAAUGGGUUUCGGGGACUCGGACGCACCAGCUUGCUGAUCGCCAGUGCUUUGCGCCCCAGUGACUGGUAAUGUAAGUAGCUGUAUUUGCUAAAUGUUUUAGCGACGAAAUGAAUGUCCCAUCGAUCCCUUUCAGAAGUGAAUAUCUUC
RNAcentral lists this unclassified non-coding RNA (351 nucleotides) under Hevea brasiliensis (rubber tree). The record is from RNAcentral. Lineage: Eukaryota; Viridiplantae; Streptophyta; Magnoliopsida; Malpighiales; Euphorbiaceae.